This 732-nucleotide long non-coding RNA is filed under the name Homo sapiens (human). RNAcentral describes it as "non-protein coding lnc-PPP2CA-1:1". The record is from RNAcentral. Lineage: Eukaryota; Metazoa; Chordata; Mammalia; Primates; Hominidae.
GCUGUAGUGGCUUCGUCUUCGGUUUUUCUCUUCCUUCGCUAACGCCUCCCGGCUCUCGUCAGCCUCCCGCCGGCCGUCUCCUUAACACCGAACACCAUGCCUUCAAUUAAGUUGCAGAGUUCUGAUGGAGAGAUAUUUGAAGUUGAUGUGGAAAUUGCCAAACAAUCUGUGACUAUUAAGACCAUGUUGGAAGGUAAGUUCAUUGGAAAACCUGGGUGGGAGGAAAUGUGUAAUUUGAGAUAGUUUGUGAAUAUCAAAUUUAUAUGAGCAGCAGCCUGUCAUAAGGUGCUUGAGAGUAUGAAGAGGUAAAGUUUACAUUUUUUUCUUUAUAACUUACAUUUUUCUGAUACAGGUCAUCCUUUCUGCAUUGUCUGAAUUAGUGAGGGUCGUUCUCUCAUUAAAUGGAUAAAAUCAUAAGGUAAAAUAAACAUUGAAGUGAUUGCCAAGCCUUAGGCAAUGGUUAAUUUCUGUUCAAGUAAAUUUGAAUUCAUAAGUUCCAGUGAUAGAAAUUAAGGUCUUUGGAAAAGAGAUACCGUCCUAUAAUGGUGGCUGAAUAGAACACCUUAUUUCAGUGGAGGGAGUGAGCUCUGUGGAUUGCUGUGUAGAUUUUAUUUAUUGAUUGAUUUAUUUGAGACAGAGUCUCACUCUUGUCCAGGCUGGAGUGCAGUGAUGCAGUCACGGCUCACUGCAGCCUCAACCUUCUGGGCUCAGUCAGUCUUCCCACCUCAGCCU